This 79-nucleotide transfer RNA is filed under the name compost metagenome. Its description in RNAcentral is "tRNA-Cys". The record is from RNAcentral.
GAUGCCUGGGAUGGCCGAGCCUUCCAUCGGUUGCAGACCGAUGAUCUGCACCGCCGGGUUCUGCUCCUUGAGGUACUGC